UAAGUGAGCUUUAUAUUUUUGGGAUCUG
RNAcentral lists this non-coding RNA (28 nucleotides) under Mus musculus (house mouse). Lineage: Eukaryota; Metazoa; Chordata; Mammalia; Rodentia; Muridae. The record is from RNAcentral.